Molecule: long non-coding RNA, 3186 nt
Organism: Rhea pennata
Lineage: Eukaryota; Metazoa; Chordata; Aves; Rheiformes; Rheidae
Exons: 3
Source: RefSeq, a predicted model, not a curated record
UCGGCUGCUACCCCGGGCCGCGGGUCUGGCUGUGCUCAGGCGGUCCCGCUUGGAGCCGGCUCCCCCCCUGCCGCUGCCGCCGCCGCUCAAGCCUCUCUCCGCCCAGGCACACAAGAUGGCGGCGCUCGGUGGCCACGUCAGUGCCAGCCCCGCGCGCGGCACCACGGCGCUGCUGCUGGAAGGAGCUCCCACGGUCCAUGCAACGGGGACCCACCUGACGUGACCACUGACGACUUGCCUUCGUUUGCUCAGCAGCCAGAUUCUUCCAGAACUGGAAUGAAACUUUGGCCAUUUUCCAUCAUCAGAACCUCAUUAGGUUGUGCAGCCACUAAUUGCUACCCACGAGCCCGACAGCUUGCGUCAAAGGAGAAGACAGAAGUUGCCCUGGGACCCGCCAAUCAAUGUCACAGCCAGCCUGGGCCCUCGGUGCACUUUGACCACCUGCAAGAAUGACGACGAUUGUUUCGGAUGCGAGGAGAGAGAUGGAAACCAGCCUAAUUAUAACAUCAAUGUCAGGUCACGUUCCCCCGUCGGACACCUGCACGAUGGAGAAAAAAAGCAGACGGCAGCUCUCGGAGUCCAGCUUCUGUGAAGCCAGCUAGAGACGUCACGGCUGCUCUCGGCUGUCCAGGCCUUGAAGAGCUUUCUUUGUGCCCGCUGUCCUAUCAGCUGUUGUGUGGAGACCGAGAUGUACAUGUUGUGAAAAAAGUGUGACUGGAGUAAUGGUGAGAGAGGGAAAUACAAAUAUGCAAGGGAAAUUGGCAGCUAGGUCCGUAAGGGCGAGGGAAGGAGGGUAGGUGCAGGGAGGCUGCAAAAGGAAGGACUGCAGAGAAGGCUCUUGGUUAGUGAAAGGACGUGGUGUGGAAAGGAAGUAAAAAUGUGUCUAAUGUCUAAAUCAUUUCACUUCAUUUUGUGUGUCUGCAAGGUAGCUAUCUCCAGCUGAGUUCAUUCCUAGCUCCCUUUUACAGUCACUACAGAGAAACAGGGAGCUUAGUGUGAGAUUCAGCACCCUUUCCAAGAUAUCUCCUUCAGGGUGAGAUGACCUAUGCCAUCAUCUCCACUGACUGGACUGACUCAGUCUCCCCAGGAGAUCCCAGGGGUGUGAAUCUGGUGGAGAUGUCUCCUUUGUAGGACAUGACCUCCUGAGCGACUUGGUCCAGUGUUAGAACUACUUUGAGCAGUGUUGGACCAGAGGAGCCUUCAGCAUCAGUAGUGUGGUGGUAUCUUCGCUUGGUCAAAAAGAUCCAUUCCUGUGUGGCAGGAGACAGACAAAUGGGUCUACAGAGGCAAGAGAGAUCCUGGGCUGAUGUUCUGUAGAGUGUUUUGCAGAGUUCAAGGUGGUGGUGGUGGGGUCUCACAACCAGUCCCAGGAAAGCUUCUUCUCAAAUUUCAGAUCCACCAGUGACACCUCUGGGAGGCCUGCCUUCUUCCCAUGCACAUUUUUGGGGUCUCAACCUUCUGUGUUGUCCAAGGGCCCCAAAACUGGCAACAAGUUUUCUUCCUGGUGGAUAUGUUGCUCCAGGCUGGAUGUGGGAUUGUAACAGGCCUAUUGGCUUCGUGGGACCCAUAAAUGAGCCAAAGCCUGCUUAUCCUAUGCUGGAAACACACUUUGUGAAUACAACGGGGCUGUUUGUAGGAAAGCAAGCAGGCUGGGUUUAGCCGGAUAGCUGCAAGAGCAGCUGGUUGGUAGUUGGAACAUUUUUAAGACAAGAAAGGGCACGUCGGAAGUGAAUCCAAAGAGAUCAGCCAUUCAGCGUCUUCCUCCUCUCUAUUUCUAAACUUUAAUGUUGUUUUUUAUACUGUCCCACGUACCUGGAACUGGGGAACCUUCCCCUUCUUCCCCUGAGCCCCAGAGGGAAGGAUCUGUGAAGAACGAGCUGUGUGAGAGGGGAUCGCCCAGCAGCCUCCAAAACUUGCUUCGAGCCACCGCAGGCUUCGCUUGUGGUGUCCCAGUGGAGAAGGAUCACAAGUCUUUUUUUCUUAGGCAAGUCUGCUGAAAUCAAAAGAGAGUUUGCCCCCAGUGUGGUGCUGGGUGUGCAAUAUAGAGAACAAAGCAAGCAGACGAACCUUUGCAAGGCCCCAUUUGCUGAAAUUCGAGUGUAAAUCGAUUUCAGCUUCCUGCUUGUACGUUCCCGGAGUGAUCCUAGCAUCCAACUGCAGAGAAUGAAAUCCUUGCUGCAGGAUGCUGUCAGUGCUGAAAGUUUGCAGAGGUUCAUGGGAGGAAAAACCCAUCAAGGAUUCAGAUACCAACUCUGGCUCGGUGCAUCCCUGGCACAAGGGGCUGGGGCUUGGGAGAGGACCGUUUGGCCUGCACUGGAGUGGCAGCAAUGGCUGUGGGUUGCCCCGUUAGGCACCUACUAACAUGACAAAUGAGGACCACAGGAGACCUUAUUAGGAAAGAGAUCAUCUACAAGGAGAUCUCCUUGCCCAAGACCACAUGGGAGCAAAGUAGCAGAGCAUGAACUUGAUCUCGGUAUCUGCCCACUCCUAAGGCAGGAGGCCAAGGAGCAACCUCACAGCUUAUUCUGACCAUGAGGACAAGACCAUCACCCAUCUUCAGCUGCAGUCUCGGAAUAGGUGGGGCACCCCCGUGAAGACACCCAUGGAGUUGAGAGAGCCAUGGCUACAGGAUCCACCUUGCUUGCCUGAGAGAGGUUUGGGGGUCAGGGACCGCCUUCCUCAUGCCUUUGCUACCUCUGCGCUUCCAUCCUCCCAUACCUGGUGUCCUCUGACGUCUCCUUAUAUGCCAAAGGGAUGCCUGGGCAAGGAGGAGUGGAGCACAAACUGCUUUUUGCUUCACCUGAUGGCUAACCCUCACUGACACAGCACUUGGUGGAGCCUUUGGCCAGGGGUCCUUUGGCAGUGCCCUAACUUGCUGAGCCCCAGCCAAAGAGACUCAGAGCUGCCCGAGAUGCACAGCCCGUGGGGCUGUCAGGAGGUGUUGACAUCUCAGGGAUAUCCCUUUUGUUCCCUCCAGGAUGCAGAGGAAAACCUGUGCCCACGCUGGGCUAUGAUACAAUCUGGCCUCUGGGUUUCCUCAGCCCCUGGCUCCAGCAAAUGCCAAUUUAUGUCAAUUAUUCCUUUACAUUUAUUGUGUGUGUGCCUCACUUAUCUCUAGGGAAACAGCCGUGCUGCUGGGGCGUGAUUUAUCCUUGAGAAAUAUAUUUCAAUUAGCAUUUAAACCCA